RNAcentral lists this ribosomal RNA (301 nucleotides) under uncultured bacterium. RNAcentral's name for it is "partial 16S ribosomal RNA". It matches the Rfam family "Bacterial small subunit ribosomal RNA", at positions 509 to 809 of the family's 1533-position model. The record is from RNAcentral.
CAGUAGCCGCGGGAAUACGAAGGGUGCAAGCGUUACUCGGAAUUACUGGGCGUAAAGCGUGCGUAGGUGGUGGUUUAAGUCCGUUGUGAAAGCCCUGGGCUCAACCUGGGAAUUGCAGUGGAUACUGGGUCACUAGAGUGUGGUAGAGGAUAGUGGAAUUUCCGGUGUAGCAGUGAAAUGCGUAGAGAUCGGAAGGAACAUCUGUGGCGAAGGCGACUAUCUGGGCCAACACUGACACUGAGGCACGAAAGCGUGGGGAGCAAACAGGAUUAGAUACCCCUGUAGUCCCUGUCUCUUAUAU